Ananas comosus (pineapple) is the source of this 1063-nucleotide long non-coding RNA. RefSeq lists it as uncharacterized. NCBI's taxonomy places the organism in Eukaryota, Viridiplantae, Streptophyta, Magnoliopsida, Poales, Bromeliaceae. The transcript has 2 exons. The record is from RefSeq and is a predicted model, not a curated record.
AAUUAAUUAACAUCAAAAUAUUAAUUAGAAAUAGUUUUUAGACUUUAAUUAACCUUGUUCCCACCUCAGAACAAGCUUGUUUCAAGAAAAAUGGUGGAACGGCAGUUCCAGCCUUAUACCAGCUUAUUUUUAAAAAUUCGAGAACUACUAUUCUCUGGUACUAAACACGACGUUCGGGAACAAAGGGGAGAACAAAAACUUAUUCUCUCCUUGUUCCCGCACCAAACACUGCCUCAAUGUCCAAAUGAUUGUCCAAAUAGGGACAUGGCCAUAUAGUUUUAGAUGCACAUGAAUUUUCUGUACAUUUUUUUAUACAAUUAUUCAUCCAAAAUUUGUGGAUGAUGAUCAAACAAGCUGCCUCGAAGUUGAAUCUGGCGGGUUAGAUGGUUCCUUCCUGCCAUUUAUCACACGAUUAGGUCAAAGCUCACGUCUUCCAUGGAUCACGUUGUUUCGCUCGAUCCAGAUUUGCCACCACAAGGAAGAUAGAAGAGCAAGUUCUUUGGUCCACUUUUGUUUAUCUUGAAGGUCGAGUUACUUUGCCUACAUUCCUCUACCAUCUUUCAUGGGUUGUAAGUUUGGAAGCCUAUCGUCGAAGCAAAAGAUCGAGCAAGUAUCUGAUGAAUAAACAUCUAUGAAAAGGGUGGUUACAAGUUUCUUGGUUGUUAGCACAUGCAGAAUUGUUCGAUCUCCUCACCGGCCACAAUUUUUGAAGAAUGUCUGCGGCCAUGACUCUUUUCCUGAGAAUCGGUCAUACAAGGAUUUUGAUUUUAACACGCAUUUUUUGUUCCCAAAUUCGGGAGCUCAAAUGGCCCCUUGAGCUCUUCGUCUGAGAGAAAGUUGUACGGGGACUUGACGGAGAAGUGCAGGGUUAACAAUACAUAUUGAGGAAUAGGUUUGCUGAAUCUGGUUAUUAUUAUAUUGAGUAGUGCAAUAAGUGCUCCAAAAAUAUGUUUUUUUUCCUUGUUUUUGAAAAAUGCUGGAGUCCUUGCUAUGUCUAUCUCCUAUGUAUACUGAUCAGCUGAUGUAAGGGCUUAUGAGUAAUGAACAUAUCAAUAUGCUAGUA